CGUUACACUGUUUUCCGUCUAACAUAACGUAAUUACAGGCGCCAUCAUAGGAGGUGCGGUAGCGGCUGGGGUCGUCAUCCUCAUCACAGCAGUCGUUACAUUCGUCGUCUACGUUAUAAGACGACGCUCCAGUGAUAGUCAUGUUGAGCGAUCGGCUCCCCAGUUUGAGCUCGCAGAGACAUACAGCGAGGACACCCAAGGGGCUCUUCUGUCUGACGAUGGCGAGUAUGUGGACACUUUACCUUCCAAGGUAACCUUGGAACAGCCUGACACCGGCAGUGUCGUCUACUACAACAUCCCAGUAGACUGUUCAGUGAGCUUGCACCAAUCUCGUAACAGUUGUGACUACGAGACCAUCUCACAGGCGUCAUCUAGCGGAGAUUAUCAAGAACUGCAGCCAGCUGUGUAUCAGAGCUUGCAGAAAUUCUGAAGUCCUCUUAUACAAUUCCUGUCAACAGCAUAAUGUCCG
Long non-coding RNA from Branchiostoma floridae (Florida lancelet), 469 nucleotides. RefSeq lists it as uncharacterized. The transcript is spliced from 3 exons. The record is from RefSeq and is a predicted model, not a curated record. Lineage: Eukaryota; Metazoa; Chordata; Leptocardii; Amphioxiformes; Branchiostomatidae.